GUGUCAGCAGCCGCGGUAAUACGUAGGUGACAAGCGUUAUCCGGAAUUACUGGGCGUAAAGCGCACGCAGGCGGCGCGUUAAGUCUGAUGUGAAAUCUCCUGGCUUAACUGGGAGGGGUCAUUGGAAACUGGCGGGCUUGAGGCGAUGAGAGGGGUGUAGAAUUCCCGGUGUAGUGGUGGAAUGCGUAGAUAUCGGGAGGAAUACCAGUGGCGAAAGCGGCACCCUGGCAUUAGCCUGACGCUCAUGUGCGAAGGCGUGGGGAGCGAACGGGAUUAGAAACCCCCGUAGUCC
RNAcentral lists this ribosomal RNA (292 nucleotides) under uncultured bacterium. Its description in RNAcentral is "partial 16S ribosomal RNA". It matches the Rfam family "Bacterial small subunit ribosomal RNA", at positions 505 to 796 of the family's 1533-position model. The record is from RNAcentral.